UGGGGUAUAGCUCAGUGGUAAAGCAUUCGACUGCAGAUCGAGAGGUCCGUGGUUCAACUCAGCGUCCCCUCC
Non-coding RNA from Angiostrongylus costaricensis, 72 nucleotides. The record is from Rfam. NCBI's taxonomy places the organism in Eukaryota, Metazoa, Nematoda, Chromadorea, Rhabditida, Metastrongylidae.